CCUACGGGCGGCAGCAGUGGGGAAUAUUGCACAAUGGGCGCAAGCCUGAUGCAGCCAUGCCGCGUGUGUGAAGAAGGCCUUCGGGUUGUAAAGCACUUUCAGCGGGGAGGAAGGCGGUGAGGUUAAUAACCUCAUCGAUUGACGUUACCCGCAGAAGAAGCACCGGCUAACUCCGUGCCAGCAGCCGCGGUAAUACGGAGGGUGCAAGCGUUAAUCGGAAUUACUGGGCGUAAAGCGCACGCAGGCGGUCUGUCAAGUCGGAUGUGAACUCCCCGGGCUCAACCUGGGAACUGCAUUCGAAACUGGCAGGCUAGAGCCUUGUAGAGGGGGGUAGAAUUCCAGGUGUAGCGGUGAAAUGCGUAGAGAUCUGGAGGAAUACCGGUGGCGAAGGCGGCCCCCUGGGCAAAGACUGACGCUCAGGUGCGAAAGCGUGGGGAGCAAACAGGAUUAGAUACCCCGGUAGUC
RNAcentral lists this ribosomal RNA (465 nucleotides) under uncultured Klebsiella sp. RNAcentral's name for it is "bacterial SSU rRNA". It matches the Rfam family "Bacterial small subunit ribosomal RNA", at positions 338 to 795 of the family's 1533-position model. The record is from RNAcentral. Lineage: Bacteria; Pseudomonadati; Pseudomonadota; Gammaproteobacteria; Enterobacterales; Enterobacteriaceae.